RNAcentral lists this ribosomal RNA (447 nucleotides) under uncultured bacterium. RNAcentral's name for it is "bacterial SSU rRNA". It matches the Rfam family "Bacterial small subunit ribosomal RNA", at positions 329 to 793 of the family's 1533-position model. The record is from RNAcentral.
GGCCAGACUCCUACGGGAGGCAGCAGUGGGGAAUAUUGCACAAUGGGGGAAACCCUGAUGCAGCGACGCCGCGUGAGUGAAGAAGUAUUUCGGUAUGUAAAGCUCUAUCAGCAGGGAAGAAAAUGACGGUACCUGACUAAGAAGCCCCGGCUAACUACGUGCCAGCAGCCGCGGUAAUACGUAGGGGGCAAGCGUUAUCCGGAUUUACUGGGUGUAAGGGGAGCGUAGACGGCAUGGCAAGUCAGAUGUGAAAGCCCGGGGCUCAACCCCGGGACUGCCCUUGGAACUGCAUGGCUGGAGUGCGGGAGGGGCAGGCGGAAUUCCUGGUGUAGCGGUGAAAUGCGUAGAUAUCAGGAGGAACACCGGCGGCGAAGGCGGCCUGCUGGACCGCGACUGACGUCGAGGCUCGAAAGCGUGGGGAGCGAACAGGAUUAGAUACCCUGGUAA